CUUUGCACAGCACCACCUUUUUGCACAGCAGGACCUUUCCACAGCCCCUUGUACAGCACCUUGCACAGCUCCUUGCACAGCCUCACCUUUGCACAGCACCUUGCACAGCAGGGCCUUUGCACAGCACCAGCUCCUUGCACAGAUCCUUGCACAGCUCCUUGCACAGCCUGACCUUUGCACAGCACCUUGCACAGCUCCUUGCACAGCUCUUUGCACAGCUCCUUGCACAGCCAGGCCUUUGCACAGCACCAGCUCCUUGCACAGCUCCUUGCACAGCAGGGCCUUUGCCUGGCACCGCUCAGCCCUGCAGGGAAGCUGAGGCACAGGCCGCCCCCUUGCACCCCAUAACCUGCUGCCCCCUUUUGCUUUUCGUUGCAGAGUGUUCAAGAAAGCGAGUCCCAACGGGAAGCUCACGGUGUACCUGGGCAAGAGGGACUUUGUGGACCACAUCGACGUGGUGGAUCCCGUGGACGGAGUGGUGCUGGUUGAUCCUGAGUACCUGAAGGAGAGGAAAGGUAACGGCCCCAUCACGAUGUCCCCGAGGUUGGGGACAUGGAGGUGGCACCCGGGGCUUUGCUGGGCCCUUGGCUGAGGGUUUCUGGGUGCCCAAGCUUGUGUCCCCAUCCCACUGCCACGUGGGGCAGUGCCACCUGUCCCCAACUGUCACAGCACGUCCUGGGAGCCACCACCUCUUCCCGGUGCCCCCUCUGCUGCUCCUGGUGGGGUUGGGACGCGCCGUGAUGCCACCACACCACGGAGCCACCGUGCCACAAUGUCACCGUGCCCCUGUGUCACCGUGCCGUGGUAUCGCAGUGUCACGGUGCCAUGCCAAAGUGACACUGUGCCACGACAGGUGCCUUGUCACCGUGCCACUGUGUUCUUGUGUCACAGUGCCACUGUGCCACCGUGCCGUGGUGCCUCAGUGCUGUGAUGCCACCGUACCGUUGUGCCACUGUGCCGUCAUAUCAUGUUGCCACACUGCUGUAAUGCCACCGUGUCGCGGUGCCACCAUACCACUGGGCCACAGUGCCACGAUGCCACCAUCUUGUGAUGCCACUGUGCCAUGGUGCCAUGAUCCCAUGGUGCCACCAUACCACUGGGCCACUGUGCCGUGGUGCCACCAUGCCGUUGUGCCAUGGUCCCUUGGUAGCAUGGUGCCACCCUACCACUGUGGCCACGAUGCCACCAUGUCAUGAUGCCACCAUAUCACAUCACCACCAUGUCGUGGUGCCAUCAUGCCAUGG
This is a long non-coding RNA of Lagopus leucura (white-tailed ptarmigan), 1244 nucleotides long. RefSeq lists it as uncharacterized. NCBI's taxonomy places the organism in Eukaryota, Metazoa, Chordata, Aves, Galliformes, Phasianidae. The transcript is spliced from 3 exons. The record is from RefSeq and is a predicted model, not a curated record.